Molecule: transfer RNA, 71 nt
Filed under: Loxodonta africana (African savanna elephant)
Lineage: Eukaryota; Metazoa; Chordata; Mammalia; Proboscidea; Elephantidae
Rfam family: tRNA
About the family: Transfer RNA (tRNA) molecules are approximately 80 nucleotides in length. Their secondary structure includes four short double-helical elements and three loops (D, anti-codon, and T loops).
Source: Rfam by way of RNAcentral
GCAUUGGUGCUUCAGUGGUAGAAUUCUCACCUUUCAUGUAGGAGACCUGGGUUUGAUUCUCAACUAGUGCA